UAUAAGAUGCCUGAUUUAAAAGGAUAAUUUUGAUAGAAUUAAACAUGUGAAUAUUCACUCUUAUAAUCUAA
This 71-nucleotide transfer RNA is filed under the name Longitarsus ballotae. Its description in RNAcentral is "tRNA-Ile". Lineage: Eukaryota; Metazoa; Arthropoda; Insecta; Coleoptera; Chrysomelidae. The record is from RNAcentral.